This 498-nucleotide ribosomal RNA is filed under the name Triticum aestivum (bread wheat). RNAcentral's name for it is "partial small subunit ribosomal RNA". The record is from RNAcentral. Lineage: Eukaryota; Viridiplantae; Streptophyta; Magnoliopsida; Poales; Poaceae.
AUGGCAAAGAGGGAGGCAUGGCGCCUCAGCUCCGCCACCGACGACAGCCUCGACGGCUGCAGCAUGCGCAGUGCCGACAGGGUCAAGGUGCGGCAGUAUGGGAAGACGUGCAAGAAGCUCACUGGCAUGUUCAUGACACAGGAGUUGGCCACGCACUCUGGCUCUGUAUGGUGCAUUAACUUCAGCUUGGCUGGACGGUACCUUGCGAGCGCCGGCGAGGACCGUGUGAUCCAUGUCUGGGAGGUCUCCGAGGGUGAGAGAAAGGGGGAGCUGCUCGGGGAAGGUGCGGUUUCAAAGGAGAGUGGUGGCGGAGGCAGCCCGUUUGUGGCAGUUGCUGGAAAUGGAUCGUGGUGGUGGCAAUGUCGCCGCUCAGCAGUGCAGACAAGGGAUAUGUGGAGAAGAAGAGGAGGCCACGGGUGCAGAGCAGCAGCAAGUCUGUCGGUUCUGAUCAUCUGGUUGUGCCCGAGACCCCGAGUGCGUGUUUGGGUUCAGAGAUAA